This is a non-coding RNA of Favolaschia claudopus, 83 nucleotides long. NCBI's taxonomy places the organism in Eukaryota, Fungi, Basidiomycota, Agaricomycetes, Agaricales, Mycenaceae. The record is from the annotation of a GenBank genome assembly.
AAAAUGGUAGCUCAGUUGGUAGAGCCACCACUAUAUAUGCGGGAGGUCUCGAGCUCCGAGUUCGAUCCUCGACCAUCCUUUUA